UCAUAAACCGUGGCUCAGUUCAGAUCGUAGGCUGCAACUCGCCUACGUGAAGGAGGAAUCGCUAGUAAUCGCAGGUCAGCAUACUGCGGUGAAUACGUUCCCGGGCCUUGUACACACCGCCCGUCACACCAUGGAAGUUGGCCACGCCCGAAGCCGUUACUCCAACCCUUGUGGAGGAGGACGUCGAAGGUGGGGCUGAUGACUGGGGUGAAGUCGUAACAAGGUAGCCGUACCGGAAGGUGCGGCUGGAUCACCUCCUAACAGGGAGACAACACAAUGAUUUUGAUGCCUGAGUACUUUUAUUCUUAGGCCGAAAUCCUGUCACCUUAGGUCGAUCGGUACCUCAGCAUUAAGAGCAGUAAUUGAUGAGUAAUCAUCAAGAGACUGAAGGAGAUGUUCAGUUCCUAAACUUUGUCUAGGUCACACCCCACAAGGGUUGAGUCUUCCUGGGCCAUUAGCUCAGGUGGUUAGAGCGCACCCCUGAUAAGGGUGAGGUCCCUGGUUCAAGUCCAGGAUGGCCCAUUCGGUGUUGGGGGUUUAGCUCAGUUGGUAGAGCGCCUGCUUUGCAAGCAGGAUGUCAGGAGUUCGAGUCUCCUAACCUCCACUGACCGAACUUAAUCUCCAUCUUCUGAACAGUGGAAGGUGAACUCGUAGGUGUGUGAUUUAGAUGUGUCCGCUGGCAUGAACUCAGCUUCCUGUCAUUCCAAAUGAUGAGUGUUUGCUCUGAAUUUGGUUGAUAAGAUGCUGGGC
RNAcentral lists this unclassified non-coding RNA (750 nucleotides) under uncultured Synechococcus sp. RNAcentral describes it as "partial contains 16S ribosomal RNA and 16S-23S ribosomal RNA intergenic spacer". The stretch from base 1 to 261 matches the Rfam family "Bacterial small subunit ribosomal RNA", at positions 1274 to 1533 of the family's 1533-position model. The record is from RNAcentral. Lineage: Bacteria; Bacillati; Cyanobacteriota; Cyanophyceae; Synechococcales; Synechococcaceae.